GCUUAUUUCGCGCAGCUUAGGUGGGAGACGUUGAACCUUUUCUUCCGGGAAAGGGGGAGUCAUCAGUGAGAUACCACACUUGGUAAGCUAGAGCGCUCAUUUUUAACCGUUAUCCGGUAAAAAGACAGUUUCAGGCGGGCAGUUUGACUGGGGCAGUCACCUCCCAAAAGGUAAUGGAGGUGUACAAAGGUUCUCUCAGGCUGGACGGAAAUCAGCCAUAGAGUGUAAAAGCAUAAGAGAGCUUGACUGCGAGACGGACAUGUCAAGCAGAGACGAAAGUCGGUUUUAGUGAUCCGACGGUGCUGAGUGGAAAGGCCGUCGCUCAACGGAUAAAAGUUACUCUAGGGAUAACA
Molecule: ribosomal RNA, 353 nt
Filed under: uncultured eukaryote
Lineage: Eukaryota
Description: LSU rRNA
Rfam family: Bacterial large subunit ribosomal RNA
Source: RNAcentral